RNAcentral lists this ribosomal RNA (968 nucleotides) under Escherichia coli. Its description in RNAcentral is "partial 23S ribosomal RNA". It matches the Rfam family "Bacterial large subunit ribosomal RNA", at positions 430 to 1399 of the family's 2925-position model. The record is from RNAcentral. Lineage: Bacteria; Pseudomonadati; Pseudomonadota; Gammaproteobacteria; Enterobacterales; Enterobacteriaceae.
UAUCCUGUCUGAAUAUGGGGGGACCAUCCUCCAAGGCUAAAUACUCCUGACUGACCGAUAGUGAACCAGUACCGUGAGGGAAAGGCGAAAAGAACCCCGGCGAGGGGAGUGAAAAAGAACCUGAAACCGUGUACGUACAAGCAGUGGGAGCCUCUUAAUGAGGUGACUGCGUACCUUUUGUAUAAUGGGUCAGCGACUUAUAUUCUGUAGCAAGGUUAACCGAAUAGGGGAGCCGAAGGGAAACCGAGUCUUAACUGGGCGUUAAGUUGCAGGGUAUAGACCCGAAACCCGGUGAUCUAGCCAUGGGCAGGUUGAAGGUUGGGUAACACUAACUGGAGGACCGAACCGACUAAUGUUGAAAAAUUAGCGGAUGACUUGUGGCUGGGGGUGAAAGGCCAAUCAAACCGGGAGAUAGCUGGUUCUCCCCGAAAGCUAUUUAGGUAGCGCCUCGUGAAUUCAUCUCCGGGGGUAGAGCACUGUUUCGGCAAGGGGGUCAUCCCGACUUACCAACCCGAUGCAAACUGCGAAUACCGGAGAAUGUUAUCACGGGAGACACACGGCGGGUGCUAACGUCCGUCGUGAAGAGGGAAACAACCCAGACCGCCAGCUAAGGUCCCAAAGUCAUGGUUAAGUGGGAAACGAUGUGGGAAGGCCCAGACAGCCAGGAUGUUGGCUUAGAAGCAGCCAUCAUUUAAAGAAAGCGUAAUAGCUCACUGGUCGAGUCGGCCUGCGCGGAAGAUGUAACGGGGCUAAACCAUGCACCGAAGCUGCGGCAGCGACACUAUGUGUUGUUGGGUAGGGGAGCGUUCUGUAAGCCUGUGAAGGUGGCCUGUGAGGGUUGCUGGAGGUAUCAGAAGUGCGAAUGCUGACAUAAGUAACGAUAAAGCGGGUGAAAAGCCCGCUCGCCGGAAGACCAAGGGUUCCUGUCCAACGUUAAUCGGGGCAGGGUGAGUCGACCCCUAAGGCGA